This 459-nucleotide ribosomal RNA is filed under the name uncultured bacterium. RNAcentral's name for it is "partial 16S ribosomal RNA". It matches the Rfam family "Bacterial small subunit ribosomal RNA", at positions 338 to 795 of the family's 1533-position model. The record is from RNAcentral.
CCUACGGGUGGCAGCAGUGAGGAAUAUUGGUCAAUGGUCGCGAGCCUGAACCAGCCAAGUCGCGUGAGGGAAGACGGUCCUGUGGAUUGUAAACCUCUUUUGUCGGGGAGCAAAAGCUGCCACGCGUGGCCGUCCGAGAGUACCCGAAGAAAAAGCAUCGGCUAACUCCGUGCCAGCAGCCGCGGUAAUACGGAGGAUGCGAGCGUUAUCCGGAUUUAUUGGGUUUAAAGGGUGCGCAGGCGGAAGGUCAAGUCAGCGGUAAAAUUGCGAGGCUCAACCCCUGCCAGCCGUUGAAACUGGCUGUCUUGAGUGAGUGAGAAGUAUGCGGAAUGCGUGGUGUAGCGGUGAAAUGCAUAGAUAUCACGCAGAACUCCGAUUGCGAAGGCAGCAUACCGGCGCUCAACUGACGCUGAGGCACGAAAGUGUGGGUAUCGAACAGGAUUAGAUACCCCUGUAGUC